Molecule: long non-coding RNA, 573 nt
Organism: Apodemus sylvaticus (European woodmouse)
Lineage: Eukaryota; Metazoa; Chordata; Mammalia; Rodentia; Muridae
Exons: 3
Source: RefSeq, a predicted model, not a curated record
AGAGCAUCCAGCAAAUGCCUGCCUUCCUUUCUAAUUCUUCUGCCGUAGAUCGAAUGCUUGUGUCUCUCCAGAAGUCAUAUCGUGAAAUAACCCUCAAGUAACGGAGAGAUGACUAACACAAGGCUAAGCUACUAAACCACCAUUCCAUAAAAACACAGAGGAUUUCAGAGAUGCGGUGUUUUCUUAGACACGAACCCAGACUCUGUGACCCUGGGGAAUUACCACAUGGGCACCUGACCAUCGCCAGAGCAAAGCCUACUGAGAGACACAAACUGCACGUCUGAUACCUUCAGAAAAGCUGAAGACUUCUGUACCUUGUCUGAUAGACACCAGCUUGUCCAUCUCAUCCCUAUGUGUUCCUGGAGAUGUCUGCUGGUCUCUCCUUUAGAAGCCCCAAGUCUCUACUUUUCUUCACAGUCGUUUGAGUGAACAGUAAUGGACACCACAGCAUUUUAAGCAGAGUGGAGGUAAAAAUAAAGAACCUUGUCUGACUGUGACUUUCUUUUAGGCUAAAAAAGAACCACCUUUUCUGAUCAAGUCAAACCCACCCUGGCAGGCUCUCUCUGGGUUCUG